GAAGUCGGCCGGACAGUCGCCGCUCGCCUUCGGGCGGGGGGAGGAAAGUCCGGGCUUCAUAGGGCAGGAUGCUGGCUAACGGCCAGGCGCCGUGAGGCGACGGAAAGUGGAACAGAGAGCUGAACCGCCGAUGGCCGGACCGAUAGCCGCAAGGGUAUCGAUUCGGAUCAGGCAAGGGUGAAAAGGUGGCCGCGAGAGCGGUGGCCGGUCGCAAGGCCGGUCCGGUAAGAGCGCACCGCUCGACUGGCGACAGUUCGAGGCAGGCUAAACCCCAUCCGAAGCAAGACCAAAUAGGCAAGCGUUGACGGGGCCCCCUGAGCUUGCGGGUAGGUUGCUUGAGGCGUGCAGUAAUGUACGUCCUAGAGGAAUGACUGUCGGCGGCGGGUAACCGCCGUGUCACAGGACCCGGCUUACAGGCCGACUUCGCAC
This 429-nucleotide RNase P RNA is filed under the name Chitinimonas arctica. Its description in RNAcentral is "Bacterial RNase P class A". It matches the Rfam family "Bacterial RNase P class A". Rfam says of the family: Ribonuclease P (RNase P) is a ubiquitous endoribonuclease, found in archaea, bacteria and eukarya as well as chloroplasts and mitochondria. Its best characterised activity is the generation of mature 5'-ends of tRNAs by cleaving the 5'-leader elements of precursor-tRNAs. The record is from Rfam by way of RNAcentral. Lineage: Bacteria; Pseudomonadati; Pseudomonadota; Betaproteobacteria; Neisseriales; Chitinibacteraceae.